GGGGGGACGGAGAAGGCUAUGUUGGCCGGGCGACGGUUGUCCCGGUUUAAGCGUGUAGGCUGGUUUUCCAGGCAAAUCCGGAAAACCAAGGCUGAGGCGUGAUGACGAGGCACUACGGUGCUGAAGCAACAAAUGCCCUGCUUCCAGGAAAAGCCUCUAAGCAUCAGGUAACAUCAAAUCGUACCCCAAACCGACACAGGUGGUCAGGUAGAGAAUACCAAGGCGCUUGAGAGAACUCGGGUGAAGGAACUAGGCAAAAUGGUGCCGUAACUUCGGGAGAAGGCACGCUGAUAUGUAGGUGAAGCGACUAGCUCGUGGAGCUGAAAUCAGUCGAAGAUACCAGCUGGCUGCAACUGUUUAUUAAAAACACAGCACUGUGCAAACACGAAAGUGGACGUAUACGGUGUGACGCCUGCCCGGUGCCGGAAGGUUAAUUGAUGGGGUUAGCGGCAACGCGAAGCUCUUGAUCGAAGCCCCGGUAAACGGCGGCCGUAACUAUAACGGUCCUAAGGUAGCGAAAUUCCUUGUCGGGUAAGUUCCGACCUGCACGAAUGGCGUAAUGAUGGCCAGGCUGUCUCCACCCGAGACUCAGUGAAAUUGAACUCGCUGUGAAGAUGCAGUGUACCCGCGGCAAGACGGAAAGACCCCGUGAACCUUUACUAUAGCUUGACACUGAACAUUGAGCCUUGAUGUGUAGGAUAGGUGGGAGGCUUUGAAGUGUGGACGCCAGUCUGCAUGGAGCCGACCUUGAAAUACCACCCUUUAAUGUUUGAUGUUCUAACGUUGGCCCGUAAUCCGGGUUGCGGACAGUGUCUGGUGGGUAGUUUGACUGGGGCGGUCUCCUCCUAAAGAGUAACGGAGGAGCACGAAGGUUGGCUAAUCCUGGUCGGACAUCAGGAGGUUAGUGCAAUGGCAUAAGCCAGC
Molecule: ribosomal RNA, 924 nt
Filed under: Escherichia coli
Lineage: Bacteria; Pseudomonadati; Pseudomonadota; Gammaproteobacteria; Enterobacterales; Enterobacteriaceae
Description: partial 23S ribosomal RNA
Rfam family: Bacterial large subunit ribosomal RNA
Source: RNAcentral